Molecule: transfer RNA, 77 nt
Filed under: Aphyocharax rathbuni
Lineage: Eukaryota; Metazoa; Chordata; Actinopteri; Characiformes; Characidae
Description: tRNA-Lys
Source: RNAcentral
CUCUAGAAAGCUAGACAGGGUACUAGCAUCAACCUUUUAAGUUGAACUUCGGUGACUCCCGACCACCUCUAGUGACU